Molecule: ribosomal RNA, 395 nt
Filed under: uncultured bacterium
Lineage: Bacteria
Description: bacterial SSU rRNA
Rfam family: Bacterial small subunit ribosomal RNA
Source: RNAcentral
AACGAACGCUGGCGGCGUGGAUAAGACAUGCAAGUCGAGCGGGAACUUUCGCUGUAGCAAUACAGUGAAAGUUCUAGCGGCGAACGGGUGCGUAACACGUGGACAAUCUGCCUUAAAGUGGGGGAUAGCUCGGCGAAAGCCGAAUUAAUACCGCAUGUGAUGAGAGACGACAUCGUCUUGAAAUCAAAGCCGGGGCAACCUGGCGCUUUUUGAGGAGUCCGCGGCCAUCAGCUAGUUGGUGAGGUAACGGCCCACCAAGGCUAUGACGGGUAGCUGGUCUGAGAGGACGACCGGUCACACUGGAACUGAGACACGGUCCAGACACCUACGGGUGGCAGUAGUCGAGAAUUUUUGACAAGUGGGGAAACCCUGAUCGAGCGACGCCGCGUGGAGGA